AGAGUUUGAUCAUGGCUCAGGACGAACGCUGGCGGCGUGCUUAACACAUGCAAGUCGAACGGAAAGGCCCUUCGGGGUACUCGAGUGGCGAACGGGUGAGUAACACGUGGGUGAUCUGCCCUGCACUUUGGGAUAAGCCUGGGAAACUGGGUCUAAUACCGAAUAGGACCGCGCGCUUCAUGGUGUGUGGUGGAAAGCUUUUGCGGUGUGGGAUGGGCCCGCGGCCUAUCAGCUUGUUGGUGGGGUAAUGGCCUACCAAGGCGACGACGGGUAGCCGGCCUGAGAGGGUGACCGGCCACACUGGGACUGAGAUACGGCCCAGACUCCUACGGGAGGCAGCAGUGGGGAAUAUUGCACAAUGGGCGCAAGCCUGAUGCAGCGACGCCGCGUGAGGGAUGACGGCCUUCGGGUUGUAAACCUCUUUCACCAGGGACGAAGCGCAAGUGACGGUACCUGGAGAAGAAGCACCGGCCAACUACGUGCCAGCAGCCGCGGUAAUACGUAGGGUGCGAGCGUUGUCCGGAAUUACUGGGCGUAAAGAGCUCGUAAGUGGUUUGUCGCGUUGUUCGUGAAAACUCACAGCUUAACUGUGGGCGUGCGGGCGAUACGGGCAGACUAGAGUACUGCAGGGGAGACUGGAAUUCCUGGUGUAGCGGUGGAAUGCGCAGAUAUCAGGAGGAACACCGGUGGCGAAGGCGGGUCUCUGGGCAGUAACUGACGCUGAGGAGCGAAAGCGUGGGGAGCGAACAGGAUUAGAUACCCCGGUAGUCC
Molecule: ribosomal RNA, 771 nt
Filed under: uncultured bacterium
Lineage: Bacteria
Description: bacterial SSU rRNA
Rfam family: Bacterial small subunit ribosomal RNA
Source: RNAcentral